GGCGAACGCUGGCGGCGUGCUUAACACAUGCAAGUCGAACGGAAAGGCCCUGCUUUUGUGGGGUGCUCGAGUGGCGAACGGGUGAGUAACACGUGAGUAACCUGCCCUUGACUUUGGGAUAACUUCAGGAAACUGGGGCUAAUACCGGAUAGGAGCUCCUACUGCAUGGUGGGGGUUGGAAAGUUUCGGCGGUUGGGGAUGGACUCGCGGCUUAUCAGCUUGUUGGUGGGGUAGUGGCUUACCAACGCUGUGACGGGUAGCCGGCCUGGGAGGGGGACUGGCACCAUUGCGAUGGAGCUGCGGCCCGGACUCCUACGGGAGGGAGCGGUGGGGAAUAGUGUACAAUGGGCGGAAGGCUGAUGCAGCAACGCCGCGUGGGGGAUGACGGCCAUGGGGUUGUAUAGCGCUUUCGUCUGGGACGAAGCGUGAGUGACGGUAAUGGGUAAAGAAGUACCGGCUAACUACGUG
Molecule: ribosomal RNA, 468 nt
Filed under: uncultured bacterium
Lineage: Bacteria
Description: partial 16S ribosomal RNA
Rfam family: Bacterial small subunit ribosomal RNA
Source: RNAcentral